AAAAACGUCUAAUGAGAUAGUAUCAACUUCAUGUGGUUGACAGCAUUUUGGUACAGUCCCAGCUGCAAUGUUAGAGAUGAUCAAUCACUAAAAGAAGUCUUUGUUCGAAAACCAGAAAAGUAAUAAGAAAAGAAUUAUUACCUAACCCUUCAAUAUUAAGCAUAUAGAGCUAAAAAGUUGUCAUCAUUCACUAAAAGUUGAAAUAUGUUGAUAUAGAUAGUGAGAGAAGUUUUGGAUCUCCAAAAACUAAUUUUUUUAAUGUACAAUUAAAGAUGGAUUAUAUGACAUCCCUAUUAAACUCGACUCUUAAUACCUCACUUUACAAAUCUAAUGUCUCUUGCAAGAACAGUCAAGUAGGAGGUAAAGUAGUCAGCAAAAUCAACAAGUAGAAGUGCUACUUGUUUUCACUUUUUCUAAUGAUGUUUGUAUAAAAGUAUGCAUAGUGAGGACAUCUUUAGGUAGCUUUCCAAAUGAUAUCUUGCACUGUGGGAUUAUAGUACUUUUUCUUUUGCGUCCAAUAUUUUUAUUGCUUUCUCUUUAUUGCGACUGAAUCAUUUCAGUAAGUGAUUUCAUAUUGAUUAAUAUAUUUUUCAGUUCCCAAUAGGCAUAUUACAUUUUCUUUCCACAUUAAUAGUCACAGAAAUAUUUAUUCUCAAUCUCAAUUGAAUAUACUAUCUAUGAAUUUCCAAACAUUACUAUAUGAUCCAUCCUAAAUCUUUCUCCAAUAAAGUACAUUACUUCUUCUUCCAUACUUAUACAGAUUUAGGACCUUAGAAGUUUUUUGAUCAACUUCAUCCCAACAAUUUUAUGUCAUCAUAUUCAAGUAUUCUAUAUGCCAUCAAAAUGAAAUCAUAAUAUACGCGAGUUGUUGCCGUUUUAACCAUAAGGAAAUCAUAACAGAAUUCCAUAAUAAUACAACCUCAUUUCUUUGGUCUAUACAUUUGUAAUAAUCUAACUUUUUUUUUUUUUUUUUAAAUCAAAUUCACCUAAUAGCAAUUGAGAAAUUUUAACUUAGAUGUCACUUUCUCUUUCAUCUUACCCCAACAUCACUUAAUGCUCUUUUAUAGUGUGGUACAUAAUAGCAUUGGAUAGAGAUAUUAUAUGAGUAGAAUACAUAUUUAUUCUUUAGUCUCUUUCUUCAGCUUUACAUUAUUAAAAAUAAAUAUUCUGUUUUCCACAACAAUAGCCUCGUAAUUUUAUAUCAUGAUUUGUUUCCACACCAUUAUUGUAUUUGGUAGUGCUAGUGAAGCUAACUCUAUGACCGCAAGCUAAGUGACCAACAAUUUACCUCAGGUAUUCACUAGCAAUUUAGGCUUGGAAAUCUUAUAUUUGAUGGCUAAAGUAUAAACUUGAUCAACAUGUUAUGAAACUAGAUGUCUUAGUUAAAUUAUUUAACUCUGCAAUCAUAAUUUUACAUUGACUCCAACGAGCUUCACUAUCUUAAUUCAACUCCUUUCGUUUAAAAAAAAAAAAAAAAAAAAGAGAAAUAGAGCACCUGAAGCCUAUGUAAUCUAUAGAUAUCCAAUUUUUAAAUUCUUAAAAAAAAGAAUAAUAAAUACAUGUAAUCUUCAAUGCUAUCACUCACAAUUAAUUAUAUAUCCCAUUUUGGAUAAUUAAAUCAUAUUUCUUCAACUAUAUACAAUCAUAAGGUAUAACCUUAGUAUUCUAUGUAUGAACAUAUCCUAAACUACGACUUGAAUAUUGUAGUAAUGAAAAGAAAUAUCAAAUUCAGUAUAAAAGAAAAACCAAAUGAAGUUUCUAUAAAAUCCAAUUGAGACAUCAGUUUUCACCGGGCAACUUCGUGAUCGAGUCUCCAUAUACAUAAAUAAAUCAACUAAAGUUAAAAAAAAAAAAAAAGGAAAAAAGAAAAAAGAAUAAAAAACAUAUUUGAGAAAUUAUGCAACAAAACUAAAAGGAACAUAGUGGAAAUACAUUUAAGAAAAGUAUACAAAAGCGUAUAACCGAAAAAAGAAUGCAAUAGAACAUAGCAAACUUUAAGUGGUCAUAACUGGUGCUAUUUAUUGAAACUGAAAAGGAGAAAGAUCCCAAGAGAUGACUAUGAGUCAAAACCUGCACAAUAUCAACAAAUGAGCAUAAAGUUGAAGUGGUAUGAGUAGACCAAAGAAUAAAAUAACAAUUAAAAUAAUUUUGAAAGUUUAUCCACAAUUCCUCUUUCAUGAAGACAAUUUAGAUCCAAAAGAAAUAUAUUUAGACAACAAAUGGAAAGAUCAGAGAAAAUAUUGACUAAAGAUUUUGGAUUUUUGAAAAAGAGAAUUAUGGGAAAUGAAGCAAACAUCGAAAUCAAACCCUGUGAUUCCAUUCGAUUGACGAUACCAAGCAUGUUAGGAAAUUGGACCGCUACUAAUUCCGCCAGGAUCAGUGGGACGCAAAAAAUAAUUUAAACUGAAAAGAAAUAAAUGUAGCAAAAAUAAUAAGUGCAAGUGACAUAAGAAUUUCGUGAUUCGGCAAUCGUGCCUACGUCCACAAACCCACACCAAUUCUUUUACUGUAUCAACAAGAGAAUAAAAGGAAUACAACAAAUACACUCUCUGUAUUUUAUUUGCCUACGCAAAGACAAUCUCUCAAUUUUCUCUCGUUAAUUUUCUACACAAACGAAAGCGUAACUGCUUCUCACUUUGUAUUUUGCUCACUAUCUCUCGUGUUUUCACUCUACACGAUUUUCUUGCACUUCUCUUUUGCUCUCCAUUUUUGCACCUGCUUUUGCCUCCAAUUUAUAGAGAAAUUCUCACCAUCCUCAUUAAAUGCAUGUCCAUCAAUUUCAACAAAGUUGCCUUGCAUUAAAUGCAUGGCAAAAUCUUCUUCCAAAACAAUUACGGCUGCAUGGUUGAAAGUUUCUCCAUUCACAUUGUUUUAGUCAACAAUUGCUACCAUAAUUUGGAAAAAAAUUUGUCUGACACCAUAGAAAAAUUGUGAAGCCGAAGUUAUAGGCUCCAAAAUUUCAACAAUCUCCCAC
This 2974-nucleotide long non-coding RNA is filed under the name Olea europaea subsp. europaea. Lineage: Eukaryota; Viridiplantae; Streptophyta; Magnoliopsida; Lamiales; Oleaceae. The record is from RNAcentral.